Molecule: ribosomal RNA, 305 nt
Filed under: uncultured bacterium
Lineage: Bacteria
Description: bacterial SSU rRNA
Rfam family: Bacterial small subunit ribosomal RNA
Source: RNAcentral
UUCCUACGGGACGCAGCAGUGGGGAAUAUUGGGCAAUGGGCGCAAGCCUGACCCAGCAAUGCCGCGUGAAGGAAGAAGGCUUUCGGGUUGUAAACUUCUUUGACAGGGGAAGAGCAGAAGACGGUACCCUGAAAACAAGCCACGGCUAACUACGUGCCAGCAGCCGCGGUAAUACGUAGGUGGCAAGCGUUGUCCGGAUUUACUGGGUGUAAAGGGCGUGUAGCCGGGGAAGCAAGUCAGAUGUGAAAACCACGGGCUCAACCUGUGGCCUGCAUUUGAAACUGUUUUUCUUGAGUACUGGAGAG